AAUAUUGGACAAUGGGGGCAACCCUGCUCCAGCCAUGCCGCGCGUGUGAAGAAGGUCGUCGGAUUGUAUAGCACUUUAAGUUGUGAGGAAGGGCUUUAGGUUAAUACCCUGAAGUUUUGACGUUACCAUCAUAAUCAGCACCGGCUAACUCUGUGCCAGCAGUCGCGUUAAUACAGAGGGUGCAAGCGUUAAUCGGAAUUACUGGGCGUAAAGCGCGCGUAGGUGGUUCAGUAAGAUGGGUGUGAAAUCCCCGGGCUUAACCUGGGAACUGCUUUCAUAACUGCUGAGCUAGAGUACGGUAGAGGGUAGUGGAAUUUCCUGUGUAGCGGUGAAAUGCGUAGAUAUAGGAAGGAACACCAGUGGCGAAGGCGACUACCUGGACUGAUACUGACACUGAGGUGCGAAAGCGUGGGGAGCAAAC
RNAcentral lists this ribosomal RNA (421 nucleotides) under uncultured bacterium. RNAcentral's name for it is "partial 16S ribosomal RNA". It matches the Rfam family "Bacterial small subunit ribosomal RNA", at positions 360 to 773 of the family's 1533-position model. The record is from RNAcentral.